RNAcentral lists this transfer RNA (64 nucleotides) under Tenebrionoidea sp. 5 KM-2017. RNAcentral's name for it is "tRNA-Phe". The record is from RNAcentral. Lineage: Eukaryota; Metazoa; Arthropoda; Insecta; Coleoptera.
ACUUAAAUAGCUUAAAAAGAGCAUAAUAUUGAAGAUAUUAAGGUAAUAAAUUUAUUUUUAAGUA